This 1304-nucleotide long non-coding RNA is filed under the name Ursus thibetanus thibetanus. RNAcentral's name for it is "lncRNA (ENSUTTG00000002371.1)". The record is from RNAcentral. Lineage: Eukaryota; Metazoa; Chordata; Mammalia; Carnivora; Ursidae.
GCGACGCGCGUCCCCAUUAUUGUGCGCGCCGCCGCGCCCUUCCAGGUGUCCUCGCGUACCUGGCGGCGGUGCCCGCGCCUCGGAGGCGGCCUGCGGGCUGGGGUGCGGGAGGCGCGCGCGUUCGCCCGGGGGUCGGGGCCCCUCCGCGGCUGCGCCCCCUCUGCCUUUCCCCGGGCGCCGAUCGCCGCCUUCCCGCCCCGGGUGGGGCCGCGGGCGGCAGCGUCCCGGGCUCUCGGCCGCUGCCUGGGAGCCAAAGAGUCAGAUUUAGUUUCACAACAAAGUCUCCUCGUCACUGCAACCCGACUGGAGGCCGAAGCGGCCGGACAGCCCGGGCAGGGGCCGGCGCGCCGCCACGGGGGCCGAAGGUGGGAAGAGAGCGCGCGAGGGGACGGUGGCCGGAGACAGGGUCCCGGCGGCUGGACUUACUCGUGACACAACUGCGGCGACGAGGGGCUGAGGAACCGGUUCUUCCAAAAACAAACCGAAAAUGGGAGGAUGAAGAUCCCACCCACUAGCUAAGAUCCACUUCGGAGCAUCAGUGGCAGAAGACCAGACCACAUGGGAACAGCCAAGAGUCAAGCCAACUCUUCAGGUGUGAGUUAGAAAUUUUCUUAUGUGCAGGAAUCAUUUAAAGAAACUUUUACUAGAUCAAUCAUUUUUUCCCUCAGUACUGGUCUUUUUUCACUUAGCUAAAUCACUUAAUACUGUUAGCAUCAUGUUAAGUCCUUCAGUGUAGAAUGUGUCUGGCCAGGGAACAUGAAUGGAAGGCACUAGAAUAAUAAUACCAAGAAAAAUUAUGCACAAGACUGAUUCCUACGCUCUAGGGCCUUUAUAUUAUAAAAAGUACAUGUGAGUUUCAGUCUAGUGAAAUAUCCUGUGAUCUGAAAGUUAAUUUCUAUGCCUAUUGCUCCUCUAAAAAACAGUAUGAGGUAAACCAGGGAGAAAUUUACUCACUAGACAAGAACUUAUUACGUGAGCCAUAAAUUUUGACUUUUACAUUCAAUUUCUUGUUACAUUAGGACUGAUUUUCUAAUCCAUUUAUUUUUGACUAACAUUAGCAAAUACAUUUCCCCCUACCAAGACUUCCAAAGAACAUCAUCAAAUUCUUUAAUCCUACCAGGCAUUUUGGAGGUAUCUAGUGAGAGGAUGCUUUAUGCACUUAUAGCUUAGGAAACCAAGUGUGGGAUACAACACAAGGGUUCUUGGCCCGCUUUCUGCUAAAGCAAAGACUUAAAGUUAAUUUUCGAGUGGUGUUUUACCCAUGUCCUGUGUCUCGUAAAUAACUACUAUGGUAAACUUCAUUG